This 434-nucleotide ribosomal RNA is filed under the name uncultured Ruminococcus sp. RNAcentral describes it as "partial 16S ribosomal RNA". It matches the Rfam family "Bacterial small subunit ribosomal RNA", at positions 341 to 792 of the family's 1533-position model. The record is from RNAcentral. Lineage: Bacteria; Bacillati; Bacillota; Clostridia; Eubacteriales; Oscillospiraceae.
ACGGGAGGCAGCAGUGGGGGAUAUUGCACAAUGGAGGAAACCCUGAUGCAGCGACGCCGCGUGAGUGAAGAAGGUUUUCGGAUUGUAAACCUCUGUCAACAGGGACGAAAAUGACGGUACCUGUGAAGGAAGCUCCGGCUAACUACGUGCCAGCAGCCGCGGUAAUACGUAGGGAGCAAGCGUUAUCCGGAAUUACUGGGUGUAAAGGGAGUGUAGGCGGGACUGUAAGUCAGAUGUGAAAUAUGCCGGCUCAACUGGCAGACUGCAUUUGAAACUGCGGUUCUUGAGUGAAGUAGAGGUAAGCGGAAUUCCUAGUGUAGCGGUGAAAUGCGUAGAUAUUAGGAGGAACACUAGUGGCGAAGGCGGCUUGCUGGACGACAACUGACGCUGAGGCGCGAAAGCGUGGGGAGCAAACAGGAUUAGAUACCCUGGUA